Molecule: non-coding RNA, 42 nt
Filed under: Weissella cibaria KACC 11862
Lineage: Bacteria; Bacillati; Bacillota; Bacilli; Lactobacillales; Lactobacillaceae
Also listed under: 1 other name
Source: RNAcentral
GGUUGGGCGUGUGCUUCAAGUUUCCUGGGUGGGUAACCAGGG